CCCACUAACCACGACACUGCUUUAAUUUUAUAUUUUAAAAAUUGUUGUUUUAAUUUGUAUUUAAAAGUGAAGGCUUGAUAUUUAAUUGUUUUUUUUUAUAGAAAGGCUAGGUCAAGGUAAUAAACUUUGAACUGAAAAGCUGUGAAAAAAAAAGUCGCCGUAGGUUCAGGGGAAUCAAAAAUUUACGUUUUGACAAUGUCUAAAAUUGGAUCUAAAAGUUAAAAAUCCUGGAUCCGCCAAAACAAGUUAUUUCAA
Molecule: long non-coding RNA, 255 nt
Organism: Hydra vulgaris (swiftwater hydra)
Lineage: Eukaryota; Metazoa; Cnidaria; Hydrozoa; Anthoathecata; Hydridae
Source: RefSeq, a predicted model, not a curated record